UGGAAAUUAACUUAAUGUUUUAAUAUGAGAACUGAUAUUUUAUCAUGCUUCAUGCAUCAUGAAUAUGCUUUAGGGUGAGUGCAUUAGUGUACACAAAGAUGAUGCAUUGCAUUUAUCCUUGUACUUGGCAUUGCUCCUUGUACAUUGCUUAUGUGAGACGGCACGGACUUCGUGAGGAUUCAUUAGCCCUCAGAGGAAAGACCUGGAACAGCCUUACGAGGACCAGGCAUAAAGACCUGGAACAGCCCUACGGGGACCAGGCACAUGGUACU
RNAcentral lists this long non-coding RNA (272 nucleotides) under Manihot esculenta (cassava). RNAcentral's name for it is "long non-coding RNA (MESC_LNC006574)". The record is from RNAcentral. Lineage: Eukaryota; Viridiplantae; Streptophyta; Magnoliopsida; Malpighiales; Euphorbiaceae.